RNAcentral lists this ribosomal RNA (496 nucleotides) under uncultured bacterium. RNAcentral describes it as "bacterial SSU rRNA". It matches the Rfam family "Bacterial small subunit ribosomal RNA", at positions 28 to 570 of the family's 1533-position model. The record is from RNAcentral.
UACGAACGCUGGCGGCAUGCCUAACACAUGCAAGUCGAACGAAGGCUUCGGCCUUAGUGGCGCACGGGUGCGUAACGCGUGGGAAUCUGCCCAAAGGUUCGGAAUAACUCAGGGAAACUUGAGCUAAUACCGGAUGAUGUCGCAAGACCAAAGAUUUAUCGCCUUUGGAUGAGCCCGCGUAGGAUUAGCUUGUUGGUGGGGUAAUGGCCCACCAAGGCGACGAUCCUUAGCUGGUCUGAGAGGAUGAUCAGCCACACUGGGACUGAGACACGGCCCAGACUCCUACGGGAGGCAGCAGUGGGGAAUAUUGGACAAUGGGCGAAAGCCUGAUCCAGCAAUGCCGCGUGAGUGAUGAAGGCCUUAGGGUUGUAAAGCUCUUUUACCCGGGAUGAUAAUGACAGUACCGGGAGAAUAAGCUCCGGCUAACUCCGUGCCAGCAGCCGCGGUAAUACGGAGGGAGCUAGCGUUGUUCGGAAUUACUGGGCGUAAAGCGCAC